UAAUGCAUAAUUGCAUCAUUUACUAACAUAUGAUGACGGUCAAAGAGGUUUGGAACUUUUGUUGUCUCCGUUUCUCUAGAAAAAGGCGAUUUUAUAGUGAUUAUUCCACCAAUUUAGGGAGUAUUAUGAAGUUUUACUAAAUUAAAUGGCAAAUAAUUAAAAAGAUGCUCAUGUACAAUGAAAAGAGUUUAAUAUACAUUAUUACAAAUUUAUAAUGAGUUCAGAAAUUUUAAAACAACACUAAAGAUUAUAGGCUUCAGUAUAUAGAACAUUUGUCGAAAAAUUCAAUACUUUCGUAAGGGUUAACAAAUAGAUUUUGAAAAAAUUUUAAAAAUAUGAAAAUACUGAUUUAAUGCAUAGUUGCAUCAUUCACUAACAUAUGAUGACGGUCAAAAAGGUUUGGAACUUUUGUUGUC
This 416-nucleotide long non-coding RNA is filed under the name Brassica napus (rape). RNAcentral describes it as "long non-coding RNA (BNAP_LNC025342)". The record is from RNAcentral. Lineage: Eukaryota; Viridiplantae; Streptophyta; Magnoliopsida; Brassicales; Brassicaceae.